This 293-nucleotide ribosomal RNA is filed under the name uncultured prokaryote. RNAcentral describes it as "partial 16S ribosomal RNA". It matches the Rfam family "Archaeal small subunit ribosomal RNA", at positions 455 to 747 of the family's 1478-position model. The record is from RNAcentral.
GUGCCAGCAGCCGCGGUAAUACCGGCAGCUCAAGUGAUGACCGAUUUUAUUGGGCCUAAAGCGUCCGUAGCUGGCCGCGCAAGUCUGUCGGGAGAUCCACCCGCUUAACGGGUGGGCGUCCGGCGGAAACUGUGCGGCUUGGGACAGGAAGGCUCGAGGGGUACGUUCGGGGUAGGAGUGAAAUCCCGUAAUCCUGAACGGACCACCGAUGGCGAAAGCACGUCGCGAGGACGGAUCCGACAGUGAGGGACGACAGCCAGGGUCUCGAACCGGAUUAGAUACCCGCGUAGUCC